Long non-coding RNA from Diabrotica virgifera virgifera (western corn rootworm), 254 nucleotides. RefSeq lists it as uncharacterized. The record is from RefSeq and is a predicted model, not a curated record. The transcript is spliced from 2 exons. NCBI's taxonomy places the organism in Eukaryota, Metazoa, Arthropoda, Insecta, Coleoptera, Chrysomelidae.
GUUCAGUUAUUUUAUAUGGUCGGUUAUGUGAUGUGUUUGUGUCACCAUAAAAAGCUGAUAUUCAGUCGUGUUUUUUGAUAUUUUUGUUAUUUUGUAAUCGAGUACCUUUUUAAAGGUCUAAUGGCUCCGUUCAGCUGUUGUGUGCAGACGGUGGAAAAAUUCAACAAGUAAACAUUUAUUUAAUCCAAAUUAAAUACUCAUAUUUCUAUGUAAAAUGUCACAUUAUUGUAUAAAUAAAUAAGUAAGAAACAAAA